RNAcentral lists this unclassified non-coding RNA (249 nucleotides) under plant metagenome. RNAcentral's name for it is "partial contains small subunit ribosomal RNA, internal transcribed spacer 1, and 5.8S ribosomal RNA". The stretch from base 201 to 249 matches the Rfam family "5.8S ribosomal RNA", at positions 1 to 49 of the family's 154-position model. The record is from RNAcentral.
UCUCCGUAGGUGAACCUGCGGAGGGAUCAUUACAGAGUUCAUGCCCUACCGGGUAGAUCUCCCACCCUAUGUUAUUAUUACUUUGUUGCUUUGGCGGGCCGUUAGGCUCCGGCCCGACUACCGGCCCCGGCUGGUAAGCGCCCGCCAGAGGACCCAAAACCCUGAAUAUUAGUGUCGUCUGAGUACUAUAUAAUAGUUAAAACUUUUAACAACGGAUCUCUUGGUUCUGGCGUCGAUGAAGAACGCAGC